GUGAGGAAUUUUCCGCAAUGGGCGAAAGCCUGACGGAGCAAUGCCGCGUGAAGGAUGAAGGCCUAUGGGUUGUAAACUUCUUUUCUCAGAAAAGAAUUAUGACGGUAUCUGAGGAAUAAGCAUCGGCUAACUCUGUGCCAGCAGCCGCGGUAAGACAGAGGAUGCAAGCGUUAUCCGGAAUGAUUGGGCGUAAAGCGUCUGUAGGUUGUUUAAAAAGUAUUCUGUCAAAGAUUAGGGCUUAACCCUAGAUAGGCAGAAUAAACUUUUAAGCUAGAGUUUGGUAGAGGCAGAGGGAAUUCCCGGUGGAGCGGUGAAAUGCGUAGAUAUCGGGAGGAACACCAAAGGCGAAGGCACUCUGCUGGGCCAAUACUAACACUGAGAGACGAAAGCGAGGGGAGCAAAUGGGAUUAGAAACCCCUGUAGUCC
This 426-nucleotide ribosomal RNA is filed under the name uncultured bacterium. Its description in RNAcentral is "bacterial SSU rRNA". It matches the Rfam family "Bacterial small subunit ribosomal RNA", at positions 354 to 796 of the family's 1533-position model. The record is from RNAcentral.